Prunus persica (peach) is the source of this 3106-nucleotide RNA transcript. RefSeq lists it as uncharacterized. The transcript has 21 exons. Lineage: Eukaryota; Viridiplantae; Streptophyta; Magnoliopsida; Rosales; Rosaceae. The record is from RefSeq and is a predicted model, not a curated record.
UAUCCCAAAAACUUGAGUUUAUUUUUCUUCUCCUACCGGGCAUCUCUCCCUCUCUGUCUCUCGCUCGUUCCAAAUUUCUCAGUCCUUUGUGAACUCCACAGAAGAGAAAGAAGGCAAAAUAAACCAUGAUAUUUGAUCUCAUCUGCCUCUUUGUAUUUAAUAAAUGAAUGAAUUCAUGGCUAGAACCACUAGUUGAUACUAAAUCAGGCAGCAGGAAGCUUCUUCUCAAGUAGGCAGUAGGGCAGUAGGGAGCAGUUGCAGUGAAGAGCGAAAUCAAAUGAAAUGAAGUGAAAGAGAGCAAAAAGCCCUAUACAGACACAGAGGCAGAGCGAGAAAUGAUGGAGAAUGGUUAUGAUGGGAAAUUUGCGGAGAAAUUCUCAGGGUUGGCGAUUUCGAACGCUGCUGAUACUAUUCGUUCCUCAAACGCCAACCACAACCACCAAGACGACAGCAGCUUGUUUCAGGUCAUGAAAGCCGUGGAAGCUGCGGAAGCCACCAUCAAGCAACAAGUCGAAGAGAAUCUCCGACUGAGGACUGAACUUCAGCACAAGAUUCUUGAGCUCGACAGAUUUAAACUAGAUGAAUCAAUGGCCCAAAGGUCGCCUUCAGUUGAUCCUUGGUCCGAGGGUCUCCAAACAUCUUUUCAAGCUCAUCAACCAGUUCCCACUGUGGAUGGUCAAGACAAUAGAAUUAAGAGUGUAAGAAACACUUAUGUAGUUCUCCACCAAGAGAGUCAAAACCCAACUACAGAUGCCCCAAUACAAAGUCAUGCUGAAACUCAAUCCAACAAUGGCACAAUCAAUGGAACCAUGAAACUGCCUACAGAUAAUGCUGGCUCGUCUCACUUGUCUUCGCCAUCUACCACAUCAUUUUCUCCAGGAAGGUUUAACACGGUAGGAGAAUAUGAUCCACGGUUCAAUUUUUCUGGGCAAGGACUGAUGCCAAUGGCUGAAUUAAAUACUCCUAGCAGCCUCUGGAAACAGGAUCUGAGUGUUAAGAUUCAUGAACAUGAAGAAGAGAUUAUGCAAUUACGGAAACAUCUUGCUAAUUAUUCAAUAAAGGAAGCACAAAUACGCAAUGAAAAAUAUGUUCUGGAGAAGCGUAUUGCUUAUAUGCGUCUGGCCUUUGAUCAGCAGCAACAAGAUCUUGUCGAUGCUGCAUCAAAAGCUCUAUCUUAUAGACAAGACAUUAUCGAGGAAAACAUACGCCUCACAUAUGCAUUACAGGAUGCACAGCAAGAGAGAUCAACAUUUGUUUCAUCUUUGCUGCCUCUUCUUGCAGAGUACUCCUUGCAGCCACCAGUUCCCGAUGCCCAAUCAAUUGUUAGCAAUGUCAAGGUUCUAUUUAAACAUUUGCAAGAAAAGCUCCUUCUUACUGAGACAAAAUUAAAGGAGUCACAGUACCAAUUAGGACCUUGGCGCUCAGAUUCAAAUCACUCUAACAUUGCCCCGCAGUCACCGUCUCACUCCAUUGGUGCAGCAUUGGCUACUUCAAACAAAAAUGGGCUAGAACUGGUUCCGCAGCCAAUAUAUUCCCAUGAAACAGUACCAGUUUCUACUUCUGAUGCUCAGACAACCACAGAGUGGGAUCUAUUGGGUCGCCAUCAGAGUGGUUUGGGUGGUGUUGUCACAAAUAACAUGAAAGCCAAUGGCCUGGGGAGGUAUUCACCUAUAGAAAGCAGGACUUCUGCAGCCCAAGAUGUACCUACUCAACUUGCUGUUACUCAGGGUGAUGCACAAGUAACUCGAUACAGUGAAGAAACCACCAAUAAACAGGUCACAUUUCGUGAUCCUGUCAGGAACUCAGAGAGUGAUUAUCAAGAUCCAGAAGGAAACCAUAAUGAGAGAGAAACGUCAGCCAAUUGGAAUUCAGGAAAUGCUCCUUACACAACAGCGCUUGAUGAUCCCAGCUCCUCGUAUGCCCAUUAUCUACCACCAGUGCUUGAAGAACCUUCUUCUUCAUUUUCAGAGGCUGCAGAUGAUGAUCCGUUACCAGCUAUAGAUGGCCUACAAAUUUCAGGCGAAGCUUUUCCUGGACGGGAACUUCAAGCAUGUGGAUACUCUAUUAAUGGAACAACCAGUUGCAAUUUUGAGUGGGUACGCCAUCGGGAAGAUGGAUCUGUUUAUUACAUUGAUGGAGCAAAGCAACCAAACUAUCUUGUUACUGCUGAUGAUGUUGAGACAUACCUUGCUAUUGAAGUCCAACCUCUGGAUAACAGGAAGCGAAAGGGAGAGCUUGUGAAGGUUUUUGCCAAUGAGCACAAAAAGAUAACUUGCGAUCCUGAAAUGCAAAGUCACAUAGAGAAGAUUCUCGGUAGUGGUCAUGCUUCAUUUAAAAUUUAUCUGUCGACUGGAUAUCUUGAUAUAUGGGAACCGGCUACGUUGGCUAUUAAGAGGGAAGCUUAUAGUAUUAAGUGUAGUGAAACUAGUGGUGUUGUACUUACGGAAAAGUUUUCGCCAACAACACUUGUAACAAUUCCAUAUGGAAGUCCUACAGAACUCAUAAUAUCUAAUCCUGGCGGGGGUGAGCAUAUUUUAAAAACAGAUGAUAGCUCGACUGAUAUUAGCUGUUCUAGAGAUACAAUUGUGCUCACGUUGAGAUUAUUUAUCCUAAGGGCUGGUGAGAGAAGGAAAGGUAAAAAAAGGUUGUUUUUUUGAGUAGGACACUUAUCUCCUGCUGUUGGGCUCCGCAAGAGCUUGUGUUCUUAUGGGCGGAUUCAUACGAUAAGGGGGAAGAUUAGGAAUUUGCGAAGCAGGAACAAGGUCAAUAGCAUGCUGAUUCUCUCUCGUAGGAGGUAGUUCAUCCGGUAUCAAGUAUGACAUCAGAGAAUUCAGUGAGGAGCUGUUGCAUGGGGUCGGCAGGUGGAGUGAGGGUGUCAUCAUAUGCCGGCUUAAGCAGGUUUUCCUAAUUCUAUUUGGACUAGUUAUUAAUUCAGUUAAGGAUUCCUUCUUGUUGAAGGAUCUCUUAUUAGUUAUUUUGCUUUACUAUUUCUCAAAGUUUACUUUUCCUUUUCCUAGAGUAAAAAGGGUUGUGCCUUUAUAAAUAGAGCAGUUUGUAAUCUUUUAAGGCAAACUUUAUUAAUGAUAAAUUUCCUUACUUUAAACUC